This 1069-nucleotide unclassified non-coding RNA is filed under the name Hevea brasiliensis (rubber tree). Lineage: Eukaryota; Viridiplantae; Streptophyta; Magnoliopsida; Malpighiales; Euphorbiaceae. The record is from RNAcentral.
AUUGAAGUGGCUCGCUUGUCAAGACGAUAGAAUCUGCACAAGGGGCUGGUUGUUUUCCAUCAAUUUGAUAUAAGUUCUGACCUUAAUGUUUGCCCAAGAUGUGAUGAAUAUGAUGAAAUAGUUCCUCAUUUAUUUCUCCUCUGUAAUUUUUCGUGGAAGAUAUGGUCUUGGAUCCUCAAUUGGUGCAUGGGGCGUCUCUCUCUGCCUACCAAACUCUGUAGCUAUAUUAUUUGCUGAAUGGAAAAACCUUUCACGAGGGGAAUUUCAUACUAAAGUUUGGGUUUGCUUGUUUUAUGUCACUGAUUGAUCUAUGUGGCAUAGUAGAAAUGAUAGUAUCUUUAACAAAAAAGAAUGGUCAUUUGAGAAUCUUUGCUCUCUUAUUCUUUUUCGUCUGCUACUGAUUUAUUAGUCUCAUCACAAUCCAUUGGGAGUUGGUCUUAUCCACAUCACAUCAGACCAUCAAUAUUAUGUUUAAGCCCUCCUCCAUCCUAUAUAGAGUGGAAUGUUAACGGUUCAGCUCAAGGGAAUCCUAGUAAUACAUGGUGGAAUGCUUAGGGAUAAUGGGUCAAUUUCUCUGCAUUUUCUCUUACUUUACAGGUAUAGAUGACUCAAAUGGUGCAGAAUUUAGAGCAACAUGCAAAGCCUUGGAGUUUCUUCUAUCUUCGCGUCAUCUUUGCUGUAAUAUCGAUCGCAUCAUUGUGGAGUCUUAAGUCUCAUGUGGCUUUGUCUUGGGUCAAUAACCUAAAUGAUUCACCUUGGCAAUUGUCAAGCGCUGUUAACUCUCUAGCUUCUAGUCUGUUGGUGUUGCCUAAUGUUGAAUUUCUUCAUGUACUGAGGGAAGCGAAUUCAUUGGCUGAUUCUCUAGCUAAACAAGGGCUGGUUCAUUCUGAGGAUUUUGUAGCUUUCUUUUAGUUUUAGUGUAUAUUGCUGUGUUUUUUUGGCUUUGAUGUUGUAUCCCCUACAUUUUGCUGUUCUGUUUCUUGUGUCCUGGAUUUUGGUGCAUUGUCUUUGCUGGAAUGGUUUAGUAUCCUUGUUUUUUUAUGAAUUUUUUCAUCACCAUUAGAAGUUA